GGCUCAGAUUGAACGCUGGCGGCGUGCUUAACACAUGCAAGUCGCGCGUGAAAGGACUUCGGUCCGAGUAAAGCGGCGCACGGGUGAGUAACGCGUGGAUGAUCUACCCAUGAGUUAGGAAUAACGGCUGGAAACGGUCGCUAAUACCAAAUACGCUCCGAUUUCAACUUCGGGGGAAAGGUGGCCUCUGCUUGCAAGCUACUGCUCAUGGAUGAGUCCGCGUCCCAUUAGCUAGUUGGUGGGGUAACGGCCCACCAAGGCGACGAUGGGUAGCCGGUCUGAGAGGAUGACCGGCCACACUGGGACUGGAACACGGCCCAGACUCCUACGGGAGGCAGCAGUGGGGAAUAUUGCGCAAUGGGCGAAAGCCUGACGCAGCGACGCCGCGUGAGGGAUGAAGGUCCUCGGAUCGUAAACCUCUGUCAGGAGGGAAGAACCGCCACGGUGCUAAUCAGCCGUGGUCUGACGGUACCUCCAAAGGAAGCACCGGCUAACUCCGUGCCAGCAGCCGC
This 512-nucleotide ribosomal RNA is filed under the name uncultured bacterium. RNAcentral's name for it is "bacterial SSU rRNA". It matches the Rfam family "Bacterial small subunit ribosomal RNA", at positions 21 to 518 of the family's 1533-position model. The record is from RNAcentral.